UACGUAGGCGGCUAUGCAAGUUGGGUGUGAAAGCCCGGGGCUCAACCCCGGAACUGCACUCAAAACUGUGUAGCUAGAGUUCGGAAGAGGUAAGUGGAAUUCCCAGUGUAGAGGUGAAAUUCGUAGAUAUUGGGAAGAACACCAGUGGCGAAGGCGGCUUACUGGUCCGAUACUGACGCUGAGGUACGAAAGCGUGGGGAGCAAACA
RNAcentral lists this ribosomal RNA (207 nucleotides) under uncultured bacterium. Its description in RNAcentral is "partial 16S ribosomal RNA". It matches the Rfam family "Bacterial small subunit ribosomal RNA", at positions 568 to 774 of the family's 1533-position model. The record is from RNAcentral.